This is an RNA transcript of Symphalangus syndactylus (siamang), 2826 nucleotides long. It is a transcript of the gene named charged multivesicular body protein 5, with no coding region annotated. NCBI's taxonomy places the organism in Eukaryota, Metazoa, Chordata, Mammalia, Primates, Hylobatidae. The record is from RefSeq and is a predicted model, not a curated record.
UUGCGCUUGCGCACGGAGGGGCCGGAAGUCGAGGCGGGAGUGACUCUGCUUCCGUUUCUGGUUUUGCUCUAGUGUUUGGGUUUCUUCGCGGCCGCUCAAGAUGAACCGACUCUUCGGGAAAGCCAAACCCAAGGCUCCGCCGCCCAGCCUGACUGACUGCAUUGGCACGGUGGACAGCAGAGCAGAAUCCAUUGACAAGAAGAUUUCUCGAUUGGAUGCUGAGCUAGUGAAGUAUAAGGAUCAGAUCAAGAAGAUGAGAGAGGGUCCUGCAAAGAAUAUGGUCAAGCAGAAAGCCUUGCGAGUUUUAAAGCAAAAGAGAAUGUAUGAGCAGCAGCGGGACAAUCUUGCCCAACAGUCAUUCAACAUGGAACAAGCCAAUUAUACCAUCCAGUCAUUGAAGGACACCAAGACCACGGUUGAUGCUAUGAAACUGGGAGUAAAGGAAAUGAAGAAGGCAUACAAGCAAGUGAAGAUCGACCAGAUUGAGGAUUUACAAGACCAGCUAGAGGAUAUGAUGGAAGAUGCAAAUGAAAUCCAAGAAGCACUGAGUCGCAGUUAUGGCACCCCAGAACUGGAUGAAGAUGAUUUAGAAGCAGAGUUGGAUGCACUGGGUGAUGAGCUUCUGGCUGAUGAAGACAGUUCUUAUUUGGAUGAGGCAGCAUCUGCACCUGCAAUUCCAGAAGGUGUUCCCACUGAUACAAAAAACAAGGUGAAAGCUUUUUCUGUUUAUAUUUCAAUGCAAAAUAGCAAAGGCUUUAUGCUUGACCAUAAGUCUGGGAAUCUAAAAGGUAGUCUUACACAAGAACAAAGAAAGACAGUCCUGGUCAUUAUUUUGUGAACCCUUGAAGGUCCAGUUUUUCUGCAUUGGAUGAUGAACUGACUGCAUAAACACUGUCACUGAGGUUCAGGAAUAUUUUUAUACAAUGACAAUUUGUGUAACAUACAUAAUCACCCUUCUUGUGAGCUGGCACUGGGUACCACUGAUGGGUCUUAGACAUUUCCUGUAAAAGCGUAAGCAACACAUGCAUGAGACUUGCUAGGCAGCAGUGAAAAAGUCUCACUCUCCAUACACACCAGUUAAUUACUGACUGGAUUUUUAAUUUUAUUUUCCUUUCUUUUUCUUUUUUUUUUUUUUCCUGUACACACAGGAGUUUAGAAUGGGUGGAUUUUCUAAACUAUGGAUUAAUAAUUUAAGCAUAAAAUUUAAUGUAGAAAGAUUCUAGUUUAAGGCAAAAGAAUCAGAACACCUGACACUAAGUAUGACUAAUUACUUAGCUAUUGUAAGCUUUUCUUUUCCUUGCAUCUGUAAAAUGCAGAUAAUUACAAGUAUCUCACAUAAUUGUUGUGCAAGCAAAUUAGAUCUUGUAUGUAAAGGACUUUGCAAACUUAAAGCUCUGUCCAAAUCUACAUGAUUGUCUUUUUUUUUUGAGACAGAGACUCAUUCUGUCACUCAGGCUGGAGUGCAGUGGCAUGAUCUCAGCUCACUGCAACCUCCGCCCCCCUGGUUCAAGCAAUCCUCGUGCCUCAGCCACCCCAGGUAGCUGGGAUUACAGGCGUGAGCCACCGCGCCCGGCCUGUUGUUGUUUUUAAAGUAAAGGAAUAAAAGAAUGGCUACUCCAUAGGCAGAGCAGCCCUGGUGUUUUCAUUGAUAGUGAUGUCGCUGCCUAUGAUUAUAGUAAAGCAUGAUAUGGAAGUGACUGCCUAUCCAAGGGCACUGCUCCUUCAAGGAUUUGGGAGGCUAAGAAAGGUAUUGGUCCACAUUAGGGAUCAGAGUGAAAAUGCAAAUCUGGAGGCAAGGACCCACUCCUCAACCUUUCCUUUUUGACCCUCCUAGCCUCCUUUUCCCCUUUCCAGGUUUACUCUUAGAUUUCUCUUUCUCCCUCUUUCACUCUCUUUCCCCUGUGGAGGAGUCCCCUUUUGGCCCUUUCUAGUUCUCUUCUUGAUUCAUCACUUCCUCCUUUACCUUUCAUGAAAAAGCUUGUUCUCAUCUUAUGAGUGCAAUUUUGGUUUUGAUUGAUUAAAUACUUGGAAAUGAGUUUUAACUAUUAAAUGUUUGUAAUCCUUUUUUUUUUUUUUAUCAAAUAGAAAAAUAGUGGCACUAAACAUUGCUUCCUUUUUACAGGAUGGAGUUCUGGUGGAUGAAUUUGGAUUGCCACAGAUCCCUGCUUCAUAGAUUUGCAUCAUUCAAGUGUAUCUUGUAAAACAAACACAUACUAUGGGACUAGGAAAUAUUUAUCUUUCCAAAUUUGCCAUAACAGAUUUAGGUUUCUUUCCUUUCUUUGAAGGAAAGUUUAAUUACAUUGCUCUUUUAUUUUUUCCAUUAAGAGACUCAUUGCUUGGGAAAUGCUUUCUUCGUACUAAAAUUUGAUUCCUUUUUUUCUUAUGAAAAACGAACUCAGUUUAAAAGUAUUUUUAGCUCGUAUGACUUGUUUUCAUUCAUUAAUAAUAAUUUGAAAUAAAACUAAGGAAAUGGAAUCUUAAAAGUCUAUGACAGUGUAACUCUACAGUCUCAAAAUGACCUGAUAAAUUGAUAAGACAAAGAUGAGAUUAUUGGGGCUGUUCAUAUUAUGAUUCAGAAUCAUUUUCUAUUGUGGUAUUAUAGGUUGGUUAAAGUGAUGGCCUUUUUGAUGGGUUUUGUUGUGUCUUGUGAACAAGUCUUACUGUGUCCAUUAUUGGAAUGGAAUUAUCACUACUGUAUCAUGAGUGGGUAUUUUGAUUCUAUGGUUCCCUCAGUAUUACAUCUUGACUUGUAAUCAAUAAUGAAUAUUUCUUGAUAUUUAAUGUAUAGGACAUUUAUUUAUACUCAAUAAAUAUUUUUCAAAAGGA